AUGUCUAAGUAUAAAUGAAUACACAGUAAAACUGCGAACGGCUCAUUCAAACAGUUAUAGGUUAUUUGAUAUUUCGGAUACUUCCAAUAUGGAUACCCGUAGUAAUUCUAGGGCUAAUACAUGCGUUGCGGGGGACUUCACGGAACCCCAGUAUUAUUAGAUAUUCUUAAACCAUCAUUCCGCAAGGUCUACUGAGAUGAUUCAUGAUAACUAGUCGAAUGCCGGUUCGUACCGGCAUAUGUCAUUCAUGUUUCUGCUUCCCAUCAGCUUGAUUGUAGUGUAUUGGACAACAAUGGCAUUCACGGGCAACCGGGGGAUUAGGGUUCGAUUCCGGAGAGGGAGCCUGAUAAACGGCUACCACUUCUACGGAAGGCAGCAGGCGCGAAAAUUAUCCAAUCCUGACUCAGGGAGGUAGUGAGACAAAUAAUGAACUGGGAUUAUUUUAUCCUGGGAUCACAAUGGGCUUGAUUUGCAAACUUGAUAUUAGCGAGGAACAAUUGGAGGGCAAGUCUGGUGCCAGCAGCCGCGGUAAUUCCAGCUCCAAUAGUGUAUAUUAACGUUCCUGCAGUUAUUCGAUGCUCGUAGUUGGAUUUCUGGGGGUCGAGACAGGAGGGCGGCUAUGGCCGCCACCAGUCUUUUCCCUCGUCCGCCUGUUAACGGCGAUCGAGAUUGAAUUCUCGACGCCGGGCUCAGGCACUUUGAUUUAAUUCUCUUGAGCAAAUUAUAGUGUUUCAGGCAGGCGUGCGCCGGAAUACUUUAGCAUGGAAUAAUCUUACGGACCGUGUGUGGGUUCGCCCACAUUUCCUUAUUUGUUGGUUUCUCUAUUUUAAGGACACGGAAUGAUUAAUAAGGGAUAGUUGAGAAGUUAUAUCUCACCAGGGGAGGCAUUAGUAUUUAAUUUCCAGAGGUGAAAUUCUUUGAAAUUUCUUAAGACUAACUUAUGCGAAAGCAUUUUUCUGCCAAGAAUGUUUUUAUCUUAUCGAACAGAACGAAAGUUAGGGGAUCAAAGACGAUCAGAUACCGUCCUAGUCUUAACCAUAAACUUUGCCGACUAGGGAUCGGAGGGCGUGCACAUUCCGCCUUCGGCACCUUACGAGAAAUCAUAAGUAUUUUGGGUUCUGGGGGUAGUAUGGUCGCAAGGCUGAAACUUAAAGGAAUUGACGGAAGGGCACCACCAGGAGUGGAGCUUGCGGCUCAAUUUGACUCAACACGGGAAAUCUUACCAGGUCCAGACAUAGGAAGGAAAUUGACAGAUUGAUAGCUCUUUCUUGAUUCUAUGGGUUGAUUCGGUGGUGCAUGGCCGUUCUUAGUUGGUGGAGUGAUUUGUCUGGUUAAUUCCGUUAACGAACGAGACCUCGACCUGCUAAAUAGUUUAGCCAACUCUUCUGGGUUGGAUCCUGACUUCUUAGAGGGACUAUCGGAUCGUGUAGCCGAUGGAAGUUCGAGGCAAUAACAGGUCUGUGAUGCCCUUAGAUGUUCUGGGCCGCACGCGCGCUACACUGACGCGAGCAUCGAGCUUACAACCUUGACUGAGAGGUCUGGGUAAUCUUUUCAAAACGCGUCGUGCUGGGGAUAGAUUAUUGCAAUUAUUAAUCUUAAACGAGGAAUUCCUAGUAAACGCUAGUCAUCAGCUAGCAUUGAUUACGUCCCUGCCCUUUGUACACACCGCCCGUCGCUACUACCGAUUGAAUGGCUUAGUGAGCUGCACGGAGUGCGGCACCCGGUUGGGUUUCCUUCCAGGUGCUUCGCGCGAAGUGUAACAAACUUGAUCAUUUAGAGGAAGUAAAA
This 1788-nucleotide ribosomal RNA is filed under the name uncultured marine eukaryote. RNAcentral describes it as "SSU rRNA". It matches the Rfam family "Eukaryotic small subunit ribosomal RNA". The record is from RNAcentral.